This 485-nucleotide long non-coding RNA is filed under the name Manihot esculenta (cassava). RNAcentral describes it as "long non-coding RNA (MESC_LNC006858)". Lineage: Eukaryota; Viridiplantae; Streptophyta; Magnoliopsida; Malpighiales; Euphorbiaceae. The record is from RNAcentral.
UUUCUAACUUCAAUCUCCAACAAAUAAAUAUUUUAAAAUAUGCAAGAUUCAAACUCAAUUGGUCUAAUAAAAAUUAAAAUAAAUAAAAUUAAAAUUAUCAAAAAUCAAAACUCAAAAAAUUAAACAGAGGUCUCCUUGUUGCUUCCACUCCAGUUCACUAUCACCCCCGGUUGGCUUGUCCGUCGAUCGUCCUUGUCCGUCUGUCCAUCGUCCUUGCCCACUACUCGCAUCGCCUGUCCAUCGUCCUUGCCCACUACUCGCGUUGCUUGUCUAUCGUCCCUGCCUACCGCUCACGUCUUUUAUCGCUCACCAUCGUGCAUAGCUCGCAUCGCUCACCAUCGUGCUGCUCGUGCCGCAUGCCAUCUCAUGCUACUCAUUGGUGGCUGCUGCUCACUGCUUGGCAUCGCUUUUGGCUCCUCCGACUCUUUUAAUCAAGCAUGAAAAAUGAAAGAUAAUUUGAAAUUUUGAAAAAUAUGAUUUAGAAA